This 484-nucleotide ribosomal RNA is filed under the name uncultured bacterium. RNAcentral's name for it is "partial 16S ribosomal RNA". It matches the Rfam family "Bacterial small subunit ribosomal RNA", at positions 30 to 507 of the family's 1533-position model. The record is from RNAcentral.
AUUGAACGCUGGCGGCAGGCCUAACACAUGCAAGUCGAGCGGAGGAAGUGAGCUUGCUCCUGGUUUCAGCGGCGGACGGGCGUGUUAUGCCUAGGAAUCUGCCUGUCCGUGGGGGAUAACGUCCGGGCAUGGGCGCUACUACCGCAUACGUCCUCAGGGAGAAGGUGGGGGAUCUUCGGACCUUCCGCUAUCAGAUGAGCCUAGGUCCGAUUAGCGAGAUGGUCGGUUAAAGGCCUACCAAGGCGACCAUCCGUAACUGGUCUGAGAGGAUGAACAGUCACCCUGCAACUGAGACAAGGUCCUGAAUCCUAAGGGAGGCAGCAGUGGCGAAAAUUUGGCUAGUGGCGAAAGCCUGACCCAACCACGCGGCGUGUGUGAAUAAGGUCUUCGGACUGUAGAGAACUCUAACGUGGGAGAAAGCGCAUUAAGUUAAUACCUUGCUGUAUUGACGUUAACAACAGAAUAAACACCGCCUAACUUCGUG